Molecule: ribosomal RNA, 253 nt
Filed under: uncultured bacterium
Lineage: Bacteria
Description: partial 16S ribosomal RNA
Rfam family: Bacterial small subunit ribosomal RNA
Source: RNAcentral
CACGUAGGGGGCAAGCGUUAUCCGGAAUUACUGGGUGUAAAGGGAGCGUAGACGGUAAUGUAAGUCUGGAGUGAAAGGCGGGGGCCCAACCCCCGGACUGCUCUGGAAACUAUGUUACUAGAGUGCAGGAGAGGUAAGCGGAAUUCCUAGUGUAGCGGCGAAAUGCGUAGAUAUUAGGAGGAACACCAGUGGCGAAGGCGGCUUACUGGACUGUAACUGACGUUGAGGCUCGAAAGCGUGGGGAGCAAACAGG